GGUAUCUGGGAUGACAUCCAACAGGACCGUUUCAGGUAGAAAAGGUUGGAAAGCGGGUCUGAAACAAGCAAAAUGGAGGUUGGACUCUGUGGAUGGGAGAUCGAUGCCAACUUCUGUAUUCAGGCAAAAAGGAGUCAAAGGCACAGGUACCCCUGGACUCGAACGUUGUUCUGCGGCUUCAGAACCAACAUGGCGACCCCACCUGAAUCUAUGCC
Long non-coding RNA from Gekko japonicus, 215 nucleotides. RefSeq lists it as uncharacterized. The record is from RefSeq and is a predicted model, not a curated record. NCBI's taxonomy places the organism in Eukaryota, Metazoa, Chordata, Lepidosauria, Squamata, Gekkonidae. The transcript is spliced from 3 exons.